AGGACGCUUCCUUCGGGAAGCGAGCGUACACAGGUGCUGCAUGGCUGUCGUCAGCUCGUGUCGUGAGAUGUUGGGUUAAGUCCCGCAACGAGCGCAACCCUUGUGUUUAGUUGCAAACAGGUCAAGCUGUGCACUCUAGACAGACUGCCGUGGACAACACGGAGGAAGGUGGGGAUGACGUCAAAUCAUCAUGCCCCUUAUGAUCUGGGCUACACACGUGCUACAAUGGCCGGUACAACGGGCAGCGAAGGAGCGAUCCGGAGCGAAUCCUAAAAAGCCGGUCCCAGUUCGGAUUGCAGGCUGAAACUCGCCUACAUGAAGUUGGAGUUGCUAGUAAUCGCGAAUCAGAAUGUCGCGGUGAAUCCGCGUUCCCGGGUCUU
Molecule: ribosomal RNA, 380 nt
Filed under: uncultured Fusibacter sp.
Lineage: Bacteria; Bacillati; Bacillota; Clostridia; Eubacteriales; Fusibacteraceae
Description: bacterial SSU rRNA
Rfam family: Bacterial small subunit ribosomal RNA
Source: RNAcentral